GCUUUUCUCCGGAGUGGUGCCACAUGUGAUUACUCAGACCUGAUUUAAGUCUGAAACUCUUUCCGCACUGCGAGCAGAGCCAGAGUUCCUCUUCUGAUGAUGGGAAUAUUGCAAACCUUCAUUGGUGGACUGUUGUGGGAUGGGCACCAGAUCUACCAAAAACAGAAACAAUUUACACUGAAUUACUUUCAUUUUAGAGACUCACUCCAUAUUCAAUAAAAAAAUAAAAUUAUUAAAUAAUAUUAAAAUUAA
Long non-coding RNA from Cyprinus carpio (common carp), 252 nucleotides. RefSeq lists it as uncharacterized. Lineage: Eukaryota; Metazoa; Chordata; Actinopteri; Cypriniformes; Cyprinidae. The transcript has 2 exons. The record is from RefSeq and is a predicted model, not a curated record.